GUAAGUUAAUGUGGAACAGUCAUUAACAGACACGCAUAUGGUUUGAUUGACACUGGAUGGUAAACUGAGGCCCAGAGAACCCAGCAAAUUAACCCAAAGGGCACAAAGCCACCUGGGGGUGGGAGAAGGAACACCUGACCCCAGUCUCAUGCUUUUACCAGCUGAGCCACCUCACAGGUAAUCUUGCUGGCCUCAGCACAGCAUGAGAAGGCUGUGUUAUCCCAGGAGGUCAGAGGUUUUUCUUGCAGCAUAGCGUGCUCUGGCCAAUGGCAAAGUGAUCCCAUAUUUCUGUUGGAGAAGCCUGGGCUUGAGGCUUCCUUAUUCCCCUGCCACAGCCACCUAGGUCUGCUUGGCACACUGUCUGGGAAAGGACAUCCAGAGUACCAGGCAGAACAAGCUGUCACUAGUUCAGGGGCUGCAGUCACCCCGUGCAGCGUGAGGGAGAGCACGGAGUGGUCCAGGCUGCCUGCAUGGUCUCUGCCCUGUACAUGUUCCUAACCAGAGUUAUGGUCUCCAAGGGGCAGAUGGGCACAGCUCCAAGAGGACCGGAUCAGCACCAGGGCAGGCGUGUGCUCUGAAACAAAGCCCACCCCAGGAGGGGAAAAACAAGCUCUGAAGGCUCACUGACACUUUUGCAAACAUCCAACUUCAUGGAGACCCUAGCCCUGUGAACUGCCAGAAUCACUCACAGCAAUAGGUCCUGAGCACACUGAUGCCCAGCUGGCAGAGGCGGCUGCCCAGGUCUCAGCACGACAGCAAACUCCUGCAAAGCUAGAGUGCUCACCGUGACCCCAGCCUGGGCAGCACGCCUUCCUGGGCCAGGCCCACCUGACAUCUUCAAGGCCAGGUUUGGCUGCAGCAGCAAGGCCUCACUUGUCAACUCAGUGCCCUCCUCAGUCAUCUCCUCCCAGGGCCAGAGCCAGAGAGAAGGGAUAGAAGACAGGAGGAGGCCCACCUUCCCGGCUGAUGCCCACCUACUCUCAGCCACUCUUCAGGCCUGAGUUGCUGAGCCGACAGCAAGAUGAGAAUGAGGUUUGGAGCCGCCACUGUGGGCCGCAUUACUGCAUGGGCAGACUGCCCCCUGCAGGUCGGCGAGGGAAGGGCCCAGUGUAUCAGUGGUUCAGCAAUCCAGCCAGCAUCCUGGUCUAGCAUCCUCAUCCAGCAUCCCAGCCAGCUUCCUGGCCAGCAUUCAGGCCAACAUGAACAUACCUUCUCUGCGGUGCCCAGCAUAAGACCUGUUCUGGGAUAUAUGCCAAGUGGGCAUGGAGUGUUUUCUUCAGUGGGACACCAUCUGCUCACACCACUUCAUCCUCUGUGAGAUGUGUGUUGGAGAUGGAUGCAUAAUAA
This is a long non-coding RNA of Bos taurus (domestic cattle), 1347 nucleotides long. The record is from Ensembl. Lineage: Eukaryota; Metazoa; Chordata; Mammalia; Artiodactyla; Bovidae.